CAGCAGCCGCGGGAAUACGAAGGGGGCUAGCGUUGUUCGGAAUUACUGGGCGUAAAGCGCACGUAGGCGGAUAUUUAAGUCAGGGGUGAAACCCCAGAGCUCAACUCUGGAACUGCCUUUGAUACUGGGUAUCUUGAGUAUGGAAGAGGUUAGUGGAAUUGCGAGUGUAGAGGUGAAAUUUGUAGAUAUUCGCAGGAACACCAGUGGCGAAGGCGGCUAACUGGUCCAUAACUGACGCUGAGGUGCGAAAGCGUGGGGAGCAAACAGGAUUAGAUACCCCUGUGUCCCUGUCUCUUAUACA
Molecule: ribosomal RNA, 301 nt
Filed under: uncultured bacterium
Lineage: Bacteria
Description: partial 16S ribosomal RNA
Rfam family: Bacterial small subunit ribosomal RNA
Source: RNAcentral